This 497-nucleotide ribosomal RNA is filed under the name uncultured bacterium. Its description in RNAcentral is "partial 16S ribosomal RNA". It matches the Rfam family "Bacterial small subunit ribosomal RNA", at positions 28 to 507 of the family's 1533-position model. The record is from RNAcentral.
GAUGAACGCUGGCGGCGUGCCUAAUACAUGCAAGUCGAGCGAACAGACGAGGAGCUUGCUCCUCUGACGUUAGCGGCGGACGGGUGAGUAACACGUGGAUAACCUACCUAUAAGACUGGGAUAACUUCGGGAAACCGGAGCUAAUACCGGAUAAUAUAUUGAACCGCAUGGUUCAAUAGUGAAAUACGGUUUUGCUGUCACUUAUAGAUGGAUCCGCGCCGCAUUAGCUAGUUGGUAAGGUAACGGCUUACCAAGGCAACGAUGCGUAGCCGACCUGAGAGGGUGAUCAGCCACACUGGAACUGAGACACGGUCCAGAGUCCUACGGGAGGCAGCAGUAGGGAAUCUUCCGCAAUGGGCGAAAGACUGACGGAGCAACGCCGCGUGAGUGAUGAAGGUCUUCGGAUCGUAAAACUCUGUUAUUAGGGAAGAACAAAUGUGUAAGUAACUAUGCACGUCUUGACGGUACCUAAUCAGAAAGCCACGGCUAACUACGUG